GCUGGAGGGAGGGGUCGCGCGCGGCAGGCCGGGAGAAGGGGUCACAGCUGGCUUAGUGGAGGGAGGUGUGGUUGGCAGCACCUGCCUCGAGCGGGGGCAGGAGGAAGAGCUCGCCUUGGUGCCGGAGCGGAGCGAGCGUAGGCGGUCGUCAGGAUGAAGAGGUACUGCUACUCCUGUUGCAUCAGCACGCACAAGUCAGUACGGCACGGGCGGGAGGAAAGACAGAGGAAGACUCUGCUCCUCGUCGUCGACGACCGCCGUGAUGGCGUGGGGAAGACAGGGAAAGAGUCUAUAAGGACGUCGCUUUGUUUUUACGACAAGUUCACCAGAGGACGAGGUCAAGUGAUCAACCUAUCUAACUACCAAGUUAAACGGGUGCGGGCACGUGGGGCUCGAUUGCGGUAGAAGUCGUUUGAGAAGGUGGUUCGUAGAGCUGAAACCAGGCCGACGCGGACAAUGCUGGUGGAGAAGGAACGAGGGGAAGAACGGUUCUAGACGACGUCCAAGCUUACGGAAGUCAAGUCACGUUAGAGAGGGUGGUCAGUGACUUUCAAAAUACGGAAUACGGGACAACGACGUGGCGGGGCCGGCAAGUGUCGGCGGUGGAGCCCGGCAAGAUGUUGUAUCGCGAUUCGGCAAGAUGCGGCGUCGAGCUCUCCACUUCCUCGAGGGGAACCCAUUAAUUUACAACCUGACCCAAGUGGAAUCACAACCUGAAUAGUCAACACUGGAUGAAACCAAGACUCUUUCUCGACGAGCUUACGUACAGUGUACAAAAACGAACUCGACCGGAAUUGAAGAUCAAGACAAACGUGAGAUACUACCGUUGCACAAGAUCACGUUCAGAUCAUUAUAUAGCAGAAAUAAAACCGAGAUGUUACCAACGUUUGAUCUUUACAAGAGGUGGAGUUUGCAUGAAGUAAGAAGGUAAAAAAAUAUCGAUAAAAUAAAACAAGGAUCAAGUGAGCGUUUGACGCUAUCGCCGGUGGUGAUUCCCGUAAACGAAGGUCGUGUCCUCGAUGUACGAGCUGCCAACGCGUGACGGCGGUACCUGUACGUGUUUCUAUAAUUCAUGUUCAUACAAUCAAGUCAAAAAAUGAUAACUAAAUGGAACAAAUUCAUCAUCACGUCGUUAUUUUCCACAUCAACAUGACUGUAAAAACAACGAUAUACCCCUUGGGCCCCCGGUUAAUAAAACCAAAAGUCAAGGUUGAAAAGACAAGAAAAGUUAGGCAUACGAAAUAACACGUUAGAACUCCUUUAGGGGUUUUUAGUACACACGUGAGUUCCAUCAAUUCACGGAAACAUUUUAAAACUGUCAGGUAGAGUCUGAUUCGUUUGUCAUGUACAAUCAGAACCAAACACCAAUCUGUACGUUUGUCAUGUACCCACAUGACAGCGAGAACGAAUAAUUCCGGACGUAGCUAUCAAUUAGAACUUGACCUACACAAUAAGAUACAAUCCACUUACUUCGGAGCCCCGGUCGUCGGUGGACGCGAUGUCUUAUGUUCACAAACGUCAAACGAGUGGUCUUACAACUUACUCUGAUGUAGUAAUAAUGAGUUUUUUAAGUAAAACAUAAACAAGUCUUAACAAGAGACAUAGACACCGUUUCUUACUAAAAAAAGACCAAAUUACGUUAGGAGGACACCUUCGUGAUUUCACGUGAUGGACAACUUGACUAUGACUUCUGUUCCUCGUCCUGGUUCACACGACCUUCAAAAAAACAUGGGUACACGCCUUCGUGAAAUAAAAAGACUAUUAAUAAUAACACAAGUACACCCACGAACUUUUCAAGAUAAGUUAUUAUC
Molecule: ribosomal RNA, 1811 nt
Filed under: Triticum aestivum (bread wheat)
Lineage: Eukaryota; Viridiplantae; Streptophyta; Magnoliopsida; Poales; Poaceae
Description: partial small subunit ribosomal RNA
Source: RNAcentral